UGAUUUCCUUCUCUCUCCUCUCGGGAGCUUCUCUUUCCUCUCGAGUGAGCUCCGCUGGAUUUCUUCCGCCACGCCGCUGCCGCUGCUCUUAUUCCGUCGGGAGGUUCCGCCAGAUAUAGCAGGUUAAUCGGUCGACGGCGUCUGGUCUCUCUCCUUAUUCCUCUCUCUCUCAGCUCUCCGUCAACAGGAGAGGUAGAACGGGGACAAGAAUCGCAGAAAUCAGGGAAACGAGAGGGAGUGAGUGACAGAAGAGGAAAAAUGGGUGCAGAGGUGAUUCGAUUUAUGAACCAUCCAGAAAGGGGCCAACCUUGUCCUUGCCCCGUCGACGCGUAGGCGACAGAGGGAAAAACCUCAACUUGGGAACCUACUGUCGACGUCUGUGACAAAGCAAGGGAGUCGUGGGUUUGGGUCUCCAUUGGAAAGGAUGUCAGAACAGGGGUAUUCAUGAAGGUGUUCUUGGGUAAUUUGCGCUUUUGCGCGUCUGCUAGAGUCGAGAGCAGUAGAGGAUUUGUUGAGUUUCAGAGAGUCCAGUUAAAAAAAAAAAUUUGCAGUCUUCAAUUCAUAGAGGACAACUCGAAGAGUAUGCAUCACAGGCACUGCUAGGGUCGGAAUUCACUUACUUGGAAUUAGAUGAAAAAGGCUCUGAUACCAAUGAUGAAAUCUGAGCAAUGCAAUAGCAGCGGAAAUAGCAGUAGCGUCUGACCAGCGGCUUCAAUGCAGCAACGUCAAGAGACAGCACCUGUGUCAAAACAAAGAAGAAAAUGAAGAAGCAAGAGCAGAAUAGGUUUUUGGGGUUUGCUUUUGAGAGGCGCAGGUUAAUUAACAACGAUCAACCGUUAGAUGAAUAGAAGUUGGGUUUUAUAGAUCGCCUCUCAGGAUUUCCCCUAUUCCCAGCUACUUUUAUGGCAUGGAGAUUUACGGUGUUACAGAGAAAAGGAUAGGGCUCAGGGCCACUAUCCAACCGGGUGGUCGUCUGCACCAUGCUGUCAGUGACGGCAGUGUUGCUUCAGGUGUGGCAAGGAAAAGCUUCCAAAGUGUUUUCCUACUUGUAGAUACUUUGUCCCCUGCUAGAGGAGAUCAGAUGGCUCUUCGGUGGUCGAGAGGUGUUCAUCGCAAAGUCAAGAUUGGCAUUCCAUAGUUGCCGGAUGAUCUCCAAUGGCCAACUUUUUCAGCACUAUUCAUGCAGACGGCAGUGCUGGCUCCUCGCGUUGGCAUGCAUUAAAUCAUUCGGUGCUCAUUGAGGAUGUUAGAUGUUCAUAUCCCUCAUUUAGAAGCAAUGAAUCUAGAGGCGGAGCUGAGUGCCAAGGUUCAGGUCCCUGUGUUGUGUCACCCUACUUCUCUUAAGGCUGCAUUCGAGCAUUCGUAAACCAAUGGUCAUAUUUGUGUAGUUGUAUGGAAGUUUGAUGCUCCGAAUAAACAACUGAUUCUUGCAAACUGGAUCAGGGAGUCCGAGCUGCAAGUUUUGGCCAAUGUAUGCGUUGAAGGUGGAGGAUGUGACCAUAUUAGAUUAUAUGGUUUCUGUAGAAUGUCGUUACGUUUAGAGGCACCAUUUUGAACAGUCAACUGAUUGCAGUGCACAUCAUGUUGGUGUAUCUGUAAAGAAACAGAAAUCAGCUUCUAACUCUAGGUUUGGAAUUUGCUAGCUCAUCUGGCGUGAGAUGUAUGCUGAAUGCUAGUUUUUGGUUCCGGUUUGUUGAAUAAAAACUCUCUCUCUCUCUCUC
Molecule: long non-coding RNA, 1721 nt
Organism: Nymphaea colorata (pocket water lily)
Lineage: Eukaryota; Viridiplantae; Streptophyta; Magnoliopsida; Nymphaeales; Nymphaeaceae
Exons: 3
Source: RefSeq, a predicted model, not a curated record